RNAcentral lists this ribosomal RNA (1389 nucleotides) under Syntrophaceae bacterium. RNAcentral describes it as "bacterial SSU rRNA". It matches the Rfam family "Bacterial small subunit ribosomal RNA", at positions 8 to 1376 of the family's 1533-position model. Lineage: Bacteria; Pseudomonadati; Thermodesulfobacteriota; Syntrophia; Syntrophales; Syntrophaceae. The record is from RNAcentral.
AGAGUUUGAUCCUGGCUCAGAACAAACGCUGGCGGCGUGCCUAACACAUGCAAGUCGUACGAGAAAGUCCGCUUCGGUGGAUAAGUAAAGUGGCGCACGGGUGAGUAACGCGUGGAUAAUCUACCCUUAAGUCUGGAAUAACUUAUCGAAAGGUGAAUUAAUACCGGAUAAUAUCCCGAAUGCCUCGGCAAUCGGGAUCAAAGAAGGCCUCUGCUUGCAAGCUUUUGCUGAAGGAUGAGUCCGCGUACCAUUAGCUAGUUGGUAGGGUAACGGCCUACCAAGGCCAAGAUGGGUAGCGGGUGUGAGAGCACGACCCGCAUCACUGGGACUGAGACACUGCCCAGACACCUACGGGUGGCUGCAGUCGAGGAUCUUCGGCAAUGGGCGCAAGCCUGACCGAGCGACGCCGCGUGCGGGAUGAAGGCCUUCGGGUUGUAAACCGCUGUCAGAGGGGAGGAAAUAUCGGGGGGUUCUCCCUCCGGUUUGACCUAUCCUCAGAGGAAGUACGGGCUAAGUUCGUGCCAGCAGCCGCGGUAAGACGAACCGUACGAACGUUACUCGGAAUCACUGGGCUUAAAGGGUGCGUAGGCGGCUCAGAAAGUUGGGUGUGAAAGCCCUCGGCUCAACCGAGGAAUUGCGCCCAAAACUGCCGGACUUGAGGAAGACAGAGGUGAGCGGAACUUAGGGUGGAGCGGUGAAAUGCGUUGAUAUCCUAAGGAACACCAGUAGCGAAAGCGGCUCACUGGGUCUCUUCUGACGCUGAGGCACGAAAGCUAGGGGAGCGAACGGGAUUAGAUACCCCGGUAGUCCUAGCCGUAAACGAUGAGCACUAGAUCGAAGGGUCCUCCAUAGCCUUUCGGUCGUAGCGAAAGUGUUAAGUGCUCCGCCUGGGGAGUAUGGUCGCAAGGCUGAAACUCAAAAGAAUUGACGGGGGCUCACACAAGCGGUGGAGCAUGUGGCUCAAUUCGAUGCAACGCGAAGAACCUUACCUAGCCUUGACAUGCAUUGGACCGACUCUGAAAGGAGUCUUUCCCGCAAGGGACCGGUGCACAGGUGCUGCAUGGCUGUCGUCAGCUCGUGUCGUGAGAUGUUGGGUUAAGUCCCGCAACGAGCGCAACCCUCGCCCUUAGUUGCCAUCAUUCAGUUGGGCACUCCAGGGGGACUGCCGGUGAUAAGCCGGAGGAAGGUGGGGAUGACGUCAAGUCCUCAUGGCCCUUACAGGCUGGGCUACACACGUGCUACAAUGGCGGUGACAGAGGGAUGCGAAAGGGCGACCUGGAGCAAAUCUCAAAAAGCCGUCUCAGUUCGGAUUGCACUCUGCAACUCGAGUGCAUGAAGGUGGAAUCGCUAGUAAUCGCAGAUCAGCACGCUGCGGUGAAUACGUUCCCG